AGGGUUUUUGGAGGCUGUUUCUCCCGGCUUGGGUGUUGUAUCAUUCAUCACAGAAUUCAAAGCCAGGGGCAACAGACUGCUGUGUGAUAGCCCAUGAGUGUUUCUGCUGCAUCACGGAAGGAGAUACAGACAUGAUUUCCUAGGGUACAGGCAAAGGCUCAAGGCUAGCUGUGACGCCAAUGAGUUUGGUAUACAAAAAAAGAUCUUAAAAUAAAGAACUGAAUAUCAGGACCUUGCUAAGAGGACAGUGAACAUCAGAAAAAAGUGACCUAAAUGGAAAGAGCAUCUUCAAAUGACAGAACAGCUUAGAAUGAGAAGAAUGAUUGGAAGAACCAAAGAGAACGGGUCAUAGAGACAGGUAGUACUUGGGUAGGAUUGUGCGAAAGCAAAGAUCUCCCUACUUCCCAUCCAUAGUCUGCCAGGAAAAACAACUCAAAGAAUGGGAAAUGUUUGGAAUUUUUUUCCAUCCAGGCAACUAAGACUCCUCCUGAACUGAUUUGCAGUACUGUUGUGUAUGGAAUGUUACAGAACACUCAAAGAAGUCAAUUUAAACGAUUGCUAGAUCAUCACUUGAUUCUGAGGAAUCACCACUGAGCUGAGAUUUUAGCAUCAGAGAGAACUCUGAGACUCACAGACUGAACUUGGAGCUGCAGGUCAUUUUUCUCUUGCAUCAGAGCUACCAUCUUUUCUUCCAGCUCUUUUCUUUUGGCCUCCGCCUUUGCAAGGUUUUCUUUAGCUUUUUCAAAUUCUUCCUUCAUGUUGGCCAUCUCCUUCUCGGUCUCUGCACUCUUCAAGAGAGGUUUGAUCUUGAAAUACAGCUUCAUCCAGGGCCAGUGUUUCACAUUCAUGAAGGCGCGGACGUUGUACUGGAUGCAGAAGAUGGACUCUCUGUGAUAAGAACAGAAAUGUUCAAAGUUGGGUUCUAACAGGAAUCAGGAAUAAAGGGACUAGAACAAAAAAU
RNAcentral lists this long non-coding RNA (961 nucleotides) under Mus spretus (western wild mouse). RNAcentral's name for it is "myosin heavy chain gene antisense RNA (ENSMSPG00010049544.1)". Lineage: Eukaryota; Metazoa; Chordata; Mammalia; Rodentia; Muridae. The record is from RNAcentral.